ACAACUUUGAAAGGAUUUCAAGCUUUGAGCCAAGAAAGUCUCUACUUUUCUUUGAAGUCCUUGAGUAAGAGAGCCUAUUGAUUAUCUUCGAUGUUAUGAUAUCAGAAGACACGAGCAGAGGACGGAAGUGAGUUCACCUCGAGUGCUACGAGAGUAAGCUAAGAUCUUCAGGUUGAGCAGGUGAUGGAAUGGAAUGGUGUUGAGCGGGUAUUUCUUUGUCGUUUCAAGUAAUGUAGCCUUGAGUAUACAUCUUCAUAUGUAUAUCUCACACGUUUUCCGUUGCGAAAUACUUUGAUUAUGGUAACUCUACGUUAUGAAGUCAAUGUAUUCAUUUUUGGGUAAUCCCCUUCGAUUAGGUCACCUUAUGUGAAUGUUUUGUAAUUAUUUGAAUGAUCAAAUGUGGUCCUCGUACUUUCUUUUAAUGUCAU
This is a long non-coding RNA of Salvia miltiorrhiza (redroot sage), 428 nucleotides long. RefSeq lists it as uncharacterized. The record is from RefSeq and is a predicted model, not a curated record. Lineage: Eukaryota; Viridiplantae; Streptophyta; Magnoliopsida; Lamiales; Lamiaceae. The transcript has 3 exons.